Molecule: transfer RNA, 65 nt
Filed under: Taeniogonalos tricolor
Lineage: Eukaryota; Metazoa; Arthropoda; Insecta; Hymenoptera; Trigonalidae
Description: tRNA-Leu
Source: RNAcentral
AUUAUUUUAGCAAAAAAUUGCAUUAAAUUUAGAAUUUAAUUAUAUACACACCCAUAUAAAUAAUA